RNAcentral lists this non-coding RNA (26 nucleotides) under Homo sapiens (human). The record is from RNAcentral. Lineage: Eukaryota; Metazoa; Chordata; Mammalia; Primates; Hominidae.
UGACAUCAGAAUCAGUGUCUCAGAGC